This is an RNA transcript of Drosophila pseudoobscura, 1575 nucleotides long. RefSeq lists it as uncharacterized. The transcript has 4 exons. The record is from RefSeq and is a predicted model, not a curated record. Lineage: Eukaryota; Metazoa; Arthropoda; Insecta; Diptera; Drosophilidae.
UUUGUUAUAAACACAACCUGUUUGCCACCCGUCCCGUGAGUUUUAACAACAAGUGAUUAGAUUGUUCUGCCACCAAACAAACAAAAUGCCAGAUAACUUAGAUACGGAACAGUUUAACGCCGACGAGUUGGAGGCCCCAGAGUGGCUGAAUGCUACGUAUUUGCAAAACAUUCUGAGCACGUAUGAAAGUGCACCAGAAUUGAAGGUAACCGAUCUGAAAAUAUCCCCAGCGAGCGCCCAGGGAGAUCACUAUGCCAGUGUUAUGUUCCGCACCCAAGUGGAAUACACAACCGGGAAGGGCGUGUUCAACAAGGCACUGAUCGUCAAGACAAUGCCCGAGGAGGAGGGACACAAAAAGGAAAUGCUGAGUGAAACCCAUCUGUUUGAAACAGAGAUCGGAAUGUACUCCAAGGUUCUACCAGAGUUCGAGAGGAUAUUGCAGCAGGCGGGCGAUAAUACAAAGUUGUAUGUACCGUGCAUCUUCCAUAGCGUCGAACCACGUCAGGUAAUGAUCUUCGAUGAUCUCGUGCCGUUGGGAUAUACUGUCAUACGCGGUCGUUCGGUUAGGGAGGAGGAAGUGCGCUCUGCCCUUUCCAAAUUGGCCAAAUGGAACGCCGUCAGCAUGAAAGUUAACAAUGAGAAUCCCGAGUUUAUCAAGGAAUUUAAGUAUGGUUUGUUCGAUUUACCCACUCUGUUGAAAGAUCCAAUGGUAACCACCGGCAUGGCCAAUUUCAUUGAAAUGCUUGACAAGGUACCUGAUCUCAAGAAGUACAAGCCGCACUUUGAGAAAAUAAAGGACUCUUAUCUGGAGCGCACUCGUGCCGUGAUGGAGGAGUAUCGCGCAGACCCCCAAUCUGAUGGAUAUUAUGUGCUUUGCCACGGAGACUUCCAUCUGCGUAACAUGAUGUUCAAGCACAACAAGGAGACAGGGGUCUUUGAGGAUGUGAUGUUGGUGGAUUUCCAGAUCUGUAAUAUAGUCCCCUUAAGCCUUGACUUGAUCUACUCCAUAUAUAUGCUGAUGGAGCCAGAGGAACGCUGGAACCAUGGAAAGGAUAUGAUCAACUAUUUCUUCAACGUUUUGGUGGAUACACUCAAGAAAAUUGGAUACAAAGGCGCCAUGCCCACCCAGGAAAAGCUCUGGCAGCAGAUCCAUCGCCACAAAUUCUACGACUUCUUCUUGCUUACCACUUUUCUGCCCAUGAUAUUGGCCAUCAAAUCGAAUACCCUUAAGAUGCAUGACAUUAUUCAAGAUGCGACAACGCGGCAGAAGGCUUACCUCAUAGAUUCCUACAUUGCAGAAGUAAAGAAACUGUUGCCCCAAUUUGAGAAAAUGGGUUAUUUUAAGGAUCUUUAAGGCACACAAAGCAACGAGCACAUCUGGUUCUGAUCUAUGUCUUUCGAGUCUCUAUAGAUUACGAGUACUUAAUUUCUUUGAGCACCGUCAAUACGACUCUCAACUGUUUGUUAUCUCUAUAAUGCACUGUUAACUUAAAUUAUCUUAUCGCGGGCUUUUGUGUGUAACCGUAAACAUUUUAAAAUAUAUUUUAACAGAUUUGGACAGUUAUUUGUACAACA